Molecule: ribosomal RNA, 490 nt
Filed under: uncultured bacterium
Lineage: Bacteria
Description: partial 16S ribosomal RNA
Rfam family: Bacterial small subunit ribosomal RNA
Source: RNAcentral
AAUGAACGCUGGCGGCAUGCCUUACACAUGCAAGUCGAACGGCAGCAUGACCUCGCUUGCUAGGUUGAUGGCGAGUGGCGAACGGGUGAGUAAUGCAUCGGAACGUGCCUUUUAGUGGGGGACAACGUAGCGAAAGUUACGCUAAUACCGCAUAUUCUCUGAGGAGGAAAGCAGGGGACCUUCGGGCCUUGCGCUAGAAGCGCGGCCGAUGUCGGAUUAGCUAGUUGGUGAGGUAAAGGCUCACCAAGGCAACGAUCCGUAGCGGGUCUGAGAGGAUGAUCCGCCACACUGGGACUGAGACACGGCCCAGACUCCUACGGGAGGCAGCAGUGGGGAAUUUUGGACAAUGGGCGCAAGCCUGAUCCAGCCAUGCCGCGUGAGUGAAGAAGGCCUUCGGGUUGUAAAGCUCUUUCGGCUGGGAAGAAAUCGCACCCUCUAAUACAGGGUGUGGAUGACGGUACCAGCAUAAGAAGCACCGGCUAACUACGUG